This 1109-nucleotide ribosomal RNA is filed under the name Bacillus amyloliquefaciens. RNAcentral describes it as "bacterial SSU rRNA". It matches the Rfam family "Bacterial small subunit ribosomal RNA", at positions 40 to 1109 of the family's 1533-position model. Lineage: Bacteria; Bacillati; Bacillota; Bacilli; Caryophanales; Bacillaceae. The record is from RNAcentral.
CGUACGGGCAUCUAUACAUGCAGUCGAGCGGACAGAUGGGAGCUUGCUCCCUGAUGUUAGCGGCGGACGGGUGAGUAACACGUGGGUAACCUGCCUGUAAGACUGGGAUAACUCCGGGAAACCGGGGCUAAUACCGGAUGCUUGUUUGAACCGCAUGGUUCAGACAUAAAAGGUGGCUUCGGCUACCACUUACAGAUGGACCCGCGGCGCAUUAGCUAGUUGGUGAGGUAACGGCUCACCAAGGCGACGAUGCGUAGCCGACCUGAGAGGGUGAUCGGCCACACUGGGACUGAGACACGGCCCAGACUCCUACGGGAGGCAGCAGUAGGGAAUCUUCCGCAAUGGACGAAAGUCUGACGGAGCAACGCCGCGUGAGUGAUGAAGGUUUUCGGAUCGUAAAGCUCUGUUGUUAGGGAAGAACAAGUGCCGUUCAAAUAGGGCGGCACCUUGACGGUACCUAACCAGAAAGCCACGGCUAACUACGUGCCAGCAGCCGCGGUAAUACGUAGGUGGCAAGCGUUGUCCGGAAUUAUUGGGCGUAAAGGGCUCGCAGGCGGUUUCUUAAGUCUGAUGUGAAAGCCCCCGGCUCAACCGGGGAGGGUCAUUGGAAACUGGGGAACUUGAGUGCAGAAGAGGAGAGUGGAAUUCCACGUGUAGCGGUGAAAUGCGUAGAGAUGUGGAGGAACACCAGUGGCGAAGGCGACUCUCUGGUCUGUAACUGACGCUGAGGAGCGAAAGCGUGGGGAGCGAACAGGAUUAGAUACCCUGGUAGUCCACGCCGUAAACGAUGAGUGCUAAGUGUUAGGGGGUUUCCGCCCCUUAGUGCUGCAGCUAACGCAUUAAGCACUCCGCCUGGGGAGUACGGUCGCAAGACUGAAACUCAAAGGAAUUGACGGGGGCCCGCACAAGCCGGUGGAGCAUGUGGGUUUAAUUCGAAAGCAACGCGAAGAACCCUUACCAGGUCUUUGACAUCCCUCUGACAUCCCUAGAGAUAGGGACGUUCCCCCUUCGGGGGGCAGAAGUGACAGGUGGGUGGCCAAUGAUUGGUCGUUCAGGCUUCGUGUCGUGAGAUGUGCGCUUAAGUUCCCGCAACGGAGGGCGGCUCUAUC